Molecule: unclassified non-coding RNA, 260 nt
Filed under: air metagenome
Description: partial contains small subunit ribosomal RNA, internal transcribed spacer 1, and 5.8S ribosomal RNA
Rfam family: Eukaryotic small subunit ribosomal RNA (bases 1-46)
Source: RNAcentral
AAGUCGUAACAAGGUUUCCGUAGGUGAACCUGCGGAAGGAUCAUUACAGAUAUACAUUAUAUCUUCCAACCCCCCCUUCAUUGUGAACUUUUGGUGUAAGCUAAGCCAAGCUAGUGCCCCUAUCUAAUAGGGGUAUUGCCCCUAUUCAAUAGGGGUUUUGGCCUUACAAACCAAUUUUUUUCAUAUACACAAUCUCUAUAUGUAUUAUGUAUGAACUAUGAAAUAUAAAAUAACUUUCAGCAACGGAUCUCUUGGCUCUC